AUGCAGUUAGUGAUGAGUGGUCGGACGACUGUGAACAUAAAUGGGGAGAUCGGGCCCUACUUCAUGACUGGGCAAGGAGUACGGCAAGGAGAUCCGAUCUCCCCAUUUCUUUUCAACCUUGUGGUCGACGCCCUGGCUUCGAUCCUAGAUUUGGCCAAACGCGCCGGCCACAUUAGGGGGAUUUGCCCCCAUCUUGUGGUCAAUGGAGGUCUGACCCACCUCCAAUAUGCAGAUGACUCCAUUAUGAUGGUGGAAGGAUCGGACGAGGACAUUCAGAACCUCAAGUUCCUCCUCCUCUGCUUUUAG
RNAcentral lists this ribosomal RNA (306 nucleotides) under Triticum aestivum (bread wheat). RNAcentral describes it as "partial small subunit ribosomal RNA". The record is from RNAcentral. Lineage: Eukaryota; Viridiplantae; Streptophyta; Magnoliopsida; Poales; Poaceae.